GGGAUGGGGGGGGACCCCAGGCUCUGCCGCCAACACCCCCCCCGUGUCGCUGCCCCCCAGACCGCUCGGGAUACCCUGAGCCAAGCCGCCAAGCUCCUGGGCUGGAAGGAGCUGCAACGCCUGGCCAAGAAGGCGGACAGCAUCAAGAUUGCCAACUGCGUGCUUCAGAAGGCAGGCAGCGCCCUGGAGCCGUACCUGGAGCAGUGCGUGCAGCACCUGCGCAGCCCCCAGGUGCAGAUGCGAGAGGCGGCCGUGCGCUUCCUGGGGCUCCUGGCUCAGCGGCUCCACAGUGAGAACCCGGAGCGGAUGCCGGACAUCCGCAGAGCCCUGAAGAGCGCCCAGGAGGACAGCGAGCCGGCCGUGCGCUGCCUGGCGCAGCAAACGCGGCUCAUCCUCAGAAAACUGAAAGGCACGGCGCCCACCAGGCCCGGGGCGCUGCGCUGCUGGCUGCAGAGGAUGUGUGGCAACUAGAGCCGUGCAGACAGGGCACGCUCCGUGUUUCUUGCAGGGUUCCACGUACAGCCAAAAUAAAGGGGAUGUUGUGUUGGAGCUGCUCCGUGGU
Molecule: long non-coding RNA, 562 nt
Filed under: Numida meleagris (helmeted guineafowl)
Lineage: Eukaryota; Metazoa; Chordata; Aves; Galliformes; Numididae
Description: lncRNA (ENSNMEG00000003008.1)
Source: RNAcentral